CCUACGGGGGGCUGCAGUGGGGAAUAUUGGACAAUGGGCGAAAGCCUGAUCCAGCCAUGCCGCGUGUGUGAAGAAGGCCUUCGGGUUGUAAAGCACUUUCAGUGGGGAAGAAAGCCUUGGGGCUAAUACCCUCGAGGAAGGACAUCACCCACAGAAGAAGCACCGGCUAACUCCGUGCCAGCAGCCGCGGUAAAACGGAGGGUGCGAGCGUUAAUCGGAAUUACUGGGCGUAAAGCGCGCGUAGGCGGUCUGAUAAGCCGGUUGUGAAAGCCCCGGGCUCAACCUGGGAACGGCAUCCGGAACUGUCAGGCUAGAGUGCAGGAGAGGAAGGUAGAAUUCCCGGUGUAGCGGUGAAAUGCGUAGAGAUCGGGAGGAAUACCAGUGGCGAAGGCGGCCUUCUGGACUGACACUGACGCUGAGGUGCGAAAGCGUGGGUAGCAAACAGGAUUAGAUACCCGGGUAGUC
This 465-nucleotide ribosomal RNA is filed under the name Vreelandella stevensii. RNAcentral describes it as "partial 16S ribosomal RNA". It matches the Rfam family "Bacterial small subunit ribosomal RNA", at positions 338 to 795 of the family's 1533-position model. Lineage: Bacteria; Pseudomonadati; Pseudomonadota; Gammaproteobacteria; Oceanospirillales; Halomonadaceae. The record is from RNAcentral.